RNAcentral lists this long non-coding RNA (351 nucleotides) under Mytilus galloprovincialis (Mediterranean mussel). Lineage: Eukaryota; Metazoa; Mollusca; Bivalvia; Mytilida; Mytilidae. The record is from RNAcentral.
GUGUGUUUUUAUAUCAAGCACAUGGUGUGUGUUUACGUUCAAUUUGAUUGGAUGGCAUAUACCCGUAUGCCGGUUUUUACGGGUAUAUGCCCUCAUGAUUUUCGUGAAAAGCAUGAUUAAGUAUUACUUAAGGGGUUAGUUUGAGAAAAUUAAGUUAUUCGAAGUUUGCCUAUAGUUCAACGUAGCAGCAUUCGUUAUUAUGUUUACCCACCCACCCACCCUUUUAUGAGAUGGUUAUCGUUAAUGGGAGUAUAUGCAUAUAUAUUACAUUAUAUUAAUAUGAAUUUUUCCUCUUUUGUAGAUAGUUUUUGAUUGUGUAACUGUAUAUUACUGUGCUAUUGUAUGAUUGGA